CAGCUUUCGCAGCUGAGGUAAACUUCCGCCCAAAUGCUGGCGCCCCCUAAUUUAAUCACGCCCCUGAACGUUUCAUUUUGCUAAAAUAAGCUGCAGCCUCAUCAAAAUGAAGUGAAAUGGAGAAAUCUGGCAGGGAGAUUCCUGACGGCAGCACACAACGGCGAGGGUGUGGCAGCAGGUAACGCCCUGAAAGACAGAAACCCGCCAAUUACAUUCAACUGCUGGUCUGGGAUAAUCCAAUAGGAUUUUGAGCUCGUCCGGCAUCUGAUAGGAGGAGAGUACUGUCGCUCACUCCUCGGAUGCAGCUGCUUUAGGAAGUCUAGCGCAUGUGAACUGGAAGCCUGCCAGUGCACAGUCACUAAGAGAGCAAGGUAAACAAUUUCUCUCUCUAUCUCCCUUCCUCCCUCCCUCUCUCUCAUUCUAGUUCUUUCCCCGAUUCCCUCCUAUGACAUUUACACCCUUUCGUAAAAGUACCCCACCUUAGGACACGGUCUUAAACGUGAGGUGAGACAUUACUUUGAUAAUAAAGUGCAGUAAAUAUGACUGCGUCAUUUAUGCUUCUUGUAACUCGCCGAAAGACGUUUCGUUGAUGGAAGUGCGGUAUUUACCAGCUCUGUCUGCAGUGUAUCCUUGCCAAAAGAUCAUGAAAUUUGGUGCAAGGUUCCUAUUGGGUCGUCCUUAUAUAUCCACCUGAGCUUUUACAGUAUAUGUAAGAUAAAACGCAUUUUUCGCCUUACCUGUUGUCUUACGUAAGCGGUCUCGGAUAUGUCGUUAUACAUCCUUUACCUGUUAGUUGUCGUGUGUAUCAUCCAUAAACAAACAUACGCACUUGUAUGUUCAAAUAAUACUGAUAAAACAAUGACUGUAUACUUAUCUCGGAUGCUAAUGGCAGAGAAACCGGUCCUUAAGUGUUGUCUAGGUCGAAAGAACCUUCGAGAGCAGCAUUUGUUUUGUUUACGCUUUCUAUAUCGUUUUUUGCACGUUCGCAUCGUACGUACCUCGCAACGGCAUCACACGCCCAGCAUCGCACAUAGACGCAUGGCAAAUCUCCGAAUCACACGGACAAAUCCGUGUACUGUGUAACUACACAACACUCUCAGCAUCCAUGUUUGAGCUGCGCUUCUGGAGAACGGACAAAAUCGUGAAAUCAGAGAGAGAGAGAGUGAAAGUGAGGAAAGAGAUGGCGAAGAAAAGAAGUGGAUGAAAGGCGGACGAAUCGAUGGAGGGCAGGGACACUCACAGGUAGGAGAAAAUCGCACAUGUCCGAAUCCUCUCCUCCUAGCUGCUGUUUUCCUCUCGACGUGAAAAAGUGACGUAGCAAGUAAUCCAAAAUCUCUCUCUCUUUCUCUCUCCCUCCCUCUCUCUCUCUCUCUCCACCAGUCCUCCACCCUCUCCAGCUCGCUCUAUUUUCAUCUUGUUGCAGAAUCGCUCUUUCAGACUGCUGUUUUUUUAGACAGACACAUGUCUGCAUAAAUAGAUCUCUAAUACGCACAUGAUCACCAAGACUGAUAGAUAGCGCAAAAACUCCCACGAUCCCUUUGUAUCCUACUCCCUCACUAAGUCUCUGUCUAUCUCUCUCGCUCAUUGUGACGCAGCACUUAAUUCUUGGGUCUUUUUCGUUCUGUUAUGGCCACACAAACAUUGCCCUUUGAAAAUCCAACCUGGCAACGCGUUCGCGGAUACAUAAUGAGUGGAAAGAGAGACAGAGAGCGAGAGGGAAACAGUUUGCUCUCCUAUCUCAUGUCCUCUUUUUCCCUCUAUCCUCUUAUAACUGUCUGUACCCAUCAGCCCUCCUGUUAUAUCUUCAGCGUCUCAUCUGCCGCUCUAGUGUCUCGCUGAACUGAGAUGACCGUGCUCUUCUGAUCACCUGACAGCCUGCAGCUUUUAAAGGCACAUCGCAGUGCUUCGGUUAUGUAACAACUGGGCUGUUUUGUUUCUUUGAGUUUUUUUUAAUCUACGCCUGUUCAAAAUGUCCCAGGCUGUCAGGGGAGCGUUAAAUCAGAUAAUAUGGGUUGGGAUGGAAGGACUAUUGUAUUUGUAAACAUCAAAACUGACAUUUGGCAACAUCAUAUGUGUGGACGAGGGAUUUAGACAUGAGAUGUGAUAUGAUACAAAAGAAAGACCAGAAGGAUGCCACAUCAGUAUCUCAUAGUCUUCCUCUUCCUGUUUUGAGACUACAGAUCCGUAACCAUGGAGACAGACUACAUGGAUGAUGUAACCAAAUAUAAAACCAAAAUGACGUAUGAGGAAAAAGCAGGGGGAAAUAUCUUUGCAAUCGCAUUUUGAAAAUAACAUACACGUUUCAUUUUAGGGAUAUUACAGACUCUUUAAGGCUGUUUACACUUGGCAUUAACAUGCGUUUUCGUCGAUCGGAUCACAAGUGGACGACGUUAAUGCCAGGUGUGAACGGUGUACAAAACGUUUGAACUUUUAAACACUUUCGACCACAUUGGUAGUCGAAACCACUUUCGAUCGGAUUGCUUUUGUAGUGUAAACGCACAUGUGGGUGAAUGUGUUCUAACAGCCACACGGACCGCCUUCUCUCCACCCAUUUAUCUAACCUGAGGUACCGAACACAAUGUUUUACGUCUUUUCUGAUUUCUGGCGCGAACACACGGUGUACAGCGCUAUGUUUAGCCUUUCAUUGAUAAAACUAAAGCGGCUGAUCUCCGCAGUUUCAUUUUGCAAGCGUGAAAGUUGUGCUUAUCUUAUUUCAUCAAUUGCGCUAAAAAUUCUGAGAAAGCUCUAACAUAUACAUGUAC
Molecule: non-coding RNA, 2762 nt
Organism: Misgurnus anguillicaudatus (oriental weatherfish)
Lineage: Eukaryota; Metazoa; Chordata; Actinopteri; Cypriniformes; Cobitidae
Source: RefSeq, a predicted model, not a curated record